UACGGGGGGGGCAAGCGUUGUUCGGAAUUACUGGGCGUAAAGGGCUCGUAGGUGGCCAACUAAGUCAGACGUGAAAUCCCUCGGCUUAACCGGGGAACUGCGUCUGAUACUGGAUGGCUUGAGUUCGGGAGAGGGAUGCGGAAUUCCAGGUGUAGCGGUGAAAUGCGUAGAUAUUCGCAAGAACACCAGUGGCGAAGGCGGCUCACUGGCCCAUAACUGACGCUGAGGCACGAAAGCGUGGGGAGCAAACAGG
Molecule: ribosomal RNA, 253 nt
Filed under: uncultured bacterium
Lineage: Bacteria
Description: partial 16S ribosomal RNA
Rfam family: Bacterial small subunit ribosomal RNA
Source: RNAcentral